Apis dorsata (giant honeybee) is the source of this 1251-nucleotide long non-coding RNA. RefSeq lists it as uncharacterized. Lineage: Eukaryota; Metazoa; Arthropoda; Insecta; Hymenoptera; Apidae. The record is from RefSeq and is a predicted model, not a curated record. The transcript is spliced from 3 exons.
CCUAUCUCAAAAUAAAGCAAAGAUUGUUGACAAUGUUAAUAUUUGGCAAAGAUAAGUCUUUCGUUGGAAGCUACUCCAGACAAUGCAAAUUAUACGUAAAUAGUAUAUGAAACACCAUUGCUAUCGUAAUAUCUUAGUAUUUUAAAAUUUUUAAAAAAAGGAAAAAUAUAUAUUUUUUUCAAAUUUGUGAAUAAUUUUCAAGAAAGAAGUAAAAUAAUUUUAAAGUGAAGAAAAAGACAGCGUGAUGGUUCAAAACACAUUUUAAAAUCUGUUGCAUAAUUGAAUAGUUCGACAGUCGAGAAUAAUACGAUACCGAAGAUCGUUAUCGUAUCGAAGGGCGCCACUAUCGAUGAUACAUCAGAAAAUUUGAAAGUAUACCAGUCAAAAUACGAUUAUCUACGCGGUAUGCGUGUCGUGUUUGAGUAUUCGGUUUUUUGAACGAUUUCAUGAUCGAAACGUGUGUAGAGAUUUGUGCAAUGAAUUCUCCAGACACUAAAAGUUCUAAAUAAAGCUUAAAGGUCGUAGAAGUUCCUGGAAAUGUAACGUAGCCCAGUAUUACUUGUGGAUAACUCGUAUUAGUGUACAAGGAGGGACGCGGGAGAAACUGAUUGGCAGAUUGCGUUUCAUAACUGACGGGAAUAGUUAGUCAAUCAAGAUCGGCAAUUUUCAAAUUUUGCCGGCGACUGAUAGUUUCAGUGGAAAUUGUUUGCCGACGCUGAAAGGGUCAAAGAUGAUUUUAUCGUUUCAUCGAUUUUGCAAAAUGUAUCUUGAAAUUGUUCGGUAUUCAUUUUAAAUAUAGUGGUGAUAAAUCUUUCAAAGAAUACUGUCGAGAAAGAAUCGUCGAAAUUUACUUCCAGAAAAGAAUCAACAAGUUCUACGUAUACUUCGUUUCGAAGAUAUUAAAGAAAUCGAGGUGAACAGUCGACUCGUGGAAAAAGAAAAAGAAAAAGAAAAGCUUUGUAAGUGUGCGAAGAAGAAACGAAUACUUUGGUGAAAAGAAUAAUAAUCCUUAAUUGGAGUCUUUAACAAACAAUCAAAUAUUAUCGAGAAAAAAAAUUGAUUAACCAUCCCCAACGAUGGACAUUGUUUGCCAAAAGGAAGAUCGACUAUAAUCUGGAUCACGAACCACGUUUACUCCUUUCUUCCUAUAUUAAUUCGAAAAAUAUUGCGGUCAGAAGAGUAUUGAUCUCUACAGACGAGACCUCUUUCAAUAUUUUUUUUAAACGUGAAACGUCCCGUUAACGUGCUGAA